UACGGAGGAUGCAAGCGUUAUCCGGAAUGAUUGGGCGUAAAGCGUCCGCAGGUGGCUAUGUAAGUCUGCUGUUAAAGAGUGAGGCUCAACCUCAUAAGAGCAGUGGAAACUACAUAGCUAGAGUGCGUUCGGGGCAGAGGGAAUUCCUGGUGUAGCGGUGAAAUGCGUAGAGAUCAGGAAGAACACCGGUGGCGAAGGCGCUCUGCUAGGCCGCAACUGACACUGGGGGACGAAAGCUAGGGGAGCGAACAGG
Molecule: ribosomal RNA, 253 nt
Filed under: uncultured bacterium
Lineage: Bacteria
Description: partial 16S ribosomal RNA
Rfam family: Bacterial small subunit ribosomal RNA
Source: RNAcentral